UACGUAGGGUGCAGGCGUUAAUCGGAAUUACUGGGCGUAAAGCGUGCGCAGGCGGCUUCCUAAGUCAGAUGUGAAAUCCCCGGGCUCAACCCAGGAACUGCGUCCGAGACUGGGGGGCUAGAAUCCGGGAGAGGGAUGUGGAAUUCCAGGUGUAGCGGUGAAAUGCGUAGAUAUCUGGAGGAACAUCGGUGGCGAAGGCGGCAUCCUGGACCGGUAUUGACGCUGAGGCGCGAAAGCCAGGGGAGCAAACGGG
RNAcentral lists this ribosomal RNA (253 nucleotides) under uncultured bacterium. RNAcentral describes it as "partial 16S ribosomal RNA". It matches the Rfam family "Bacterial small subunit ribosomal RNA", at positions 524 to 776 of the family's 1533-position model. The record is from RNAcentral.